Molecule: long non-coding RNA, 636 nt
Organism: Anguilla rostrata (American eel)
Lineage: Eukaryota; Metazoa; Chordata; Actinopteri; Anguilliformes; Anguillidae
Exons: 2
Source: RefSeq, a predicted model, not a curated record
GCCAGUAGGCGCAGUGAGCAUCUUCUAAGCAACUGAAAGGCCUACAUUUUCAGGAUUUUUUAACAAUAAGUUAAUAAUGAUAGCCGUGCCAUACUAAUUAAGAAUUUUUUAUUUAUUUGAUGCAGUAACCCAAAGUCAAGUGCCAAUUCUGGAAAGGGCAGAAAUAAUGACAACUGCAAUGAUUUUGCUGAUGCCAACAUAUAUGGAAACUUGUAGCUGAUGCCAGCACAUUUGAUCAAGACACAAUGGAAGAUGUCACCAGAAAAAUUUGCGGUUCCUUUUUCCUUUUCCCCUGGUCUUUCUCAGUUCAUUUCAUUUGUGCUUCUUUCUUUCUUAAUAGUUACAUCAAUGUGUUUGAAAUAACACAGGGAAUCUUAGCUUCUGUUUAGCUGAUCUGGCAUAAUCAUAUAUAUAACCCAUAAUUAACACUAGGCUUCCUGGAUUUACUUACUCACUUCUAACACUUUCCAUUGCUUUAAACAACUUCAAAUAAUGAACAUUUCUGUCAUUUCUUGCACUAGAUUUUCACGUGACCAUAUUACCUGUGUUCUUCCAAUAUACCUAUAUACAAUGUGUACCAAUACAACUUCGUACUAUGCAUUUUUUGUUAAUGACAAAUAAAGAAUUGCCACCUCA